AACCGCAUGGUUCUUGGCUGAAAGAUGGCGUAAGCUAUCGCUUUUGGAUGGACCCGCGGCGUAUUAGCUAGUUGGUGAGGUAACGGCUCACCAAGGCAAUGAUACGUAGCCGAACUGAGAGGUUGAUCGGCCACAUUGGGACUGAGACACGGCCCAAACUCCUACGGGAGGCAGCAGUAGGGAAUCUUCCACAAUGGACGCAAGUCUGAUGGAGCAACGCCGCGUGAGUGAAGAAGGCUUUCGGGUCGUAAAACUCUGUUGUUGGAGAAGAAUGGUCGGCAGAGUAACUGUUGUCGGCGUGACGGUAUCCAACCAGAAAGCCACGGCUAACUACGUGCCAGCAGCCGCGGUAAUACGUAGGUGGCAAGCGUUAUCCGGAUUUAUUGGGCGUAAAGCGAGCGCAGGCGGUUUUUUAAGUCUGAUGUGAAAGCCCUCGGCUUAACCGAGGAAGUGCAUCGGAAACUGGGAAACUUGAGUGCAGAAGAGGACAGUGGAACUCCAUGUGUAGCGGUGAAAUGCGUAGAUAUAUGGAAGAACACCAGUGGCGAAGGCGGCUGUCUGGUCUGUAACUGACGCUGAGGCUCGAAAGCAUGGGUAGCGAACAGGAUUAGAUACCCUGGUAGUCCAUGCCGUAAACGAUGAAUGCUAGGUGUUGGAGGGUUUCCGCCCUUCAGUGCCGCAGCUAACGCAUUAAGCAUUCCGCCUGGGGAGUACGACCGCAAGGUUGAAACUCAAAGGAAUUGACGGGGGCCCGCACAAGCGGUGGAGCAUGUGGUUUAAUUCGAAGCAACGCGAAGAACCUUACCAGGUCUUGACAUCUUUUGAUCACCUGAGAGAUCAGGUUUCCCCUUCGGGGGCAAAAUGACAGGUGGUGCAUGGUUGUCGUCAGCUCGUGUCGUGAGAUGUUGGGUUAAGUCCCGCAACGAGCGCAACCCUUAUGACUAGUUGCCAGCAUUUAGUUGGGCACUCUAGUAAGACUGCCGGUGACAAACCGGAGGAAGGUGGGGAUGACGUCAAAUCAUCAUGCCCCUUAUGACCUGGGCUACACACGUGCUACAAUGGAUGGUACAACGAGUUGCGAGACCGCGAGGUCAAGCUAAUCUCUUAAAGCCAUUCUCAGUUCGGACUGUAGGCUGCAACUCGCCUACACGAAGUCGGAAUCGCUAGUAAUCGCGGAUCAGCACGCCGCGGUGAAUACGUUCCCGGGCCUUGUACACACCGCCCGUCACACCAUGAGAGUUUGUAACACCCGAAGCCGGUGGCGUAACCCUUUUAGGGAGCGAGCCGUCUAAGGUGGGACAAAUGAUUAGGGUGAAGUCGUAACAAGGUAGCCGUAGGAGAACCUGCGGCUGGAUCACCUCCUUUCUAAGGAA
Molecule: ribosomal RNA, 1373 nt
Filed under: Lacticaseibacillus rhamnosus
Lineage: Bacteria; Bacillati; Bacillota; Bacilli; Lactobacillales; Lactobacillaceae
Description: bacterial SSU rRNA
Rfam family: Bacterial small subunit ribosomal RNA
Source: RNAcentral